GCCCUCGCCACCAAGCGGCAUGCUUUCCCGUGAGCGGGCUUCUUCAACACAUGUUUAUCUGAAUUUCUACAAGCUAAAUUAGUACAGGCUUCUCUGAACGUUGGCCUGUAUUGGAUUCUUGUAUGUUAUGAUUUGCCCAAUCUGCUCUUCCUACACCCAUGGAUAGGGCAAGAAAAAUAAUUAGAAAGCAUGAAAGAUGCUGUAUCAAUUGUUUUAGCUCUUCCUACACCCAACCGCCACAUUCUAAAUUCUGAAGGUUCCAGCUAGAAUUCCCGUUCAGUUCAUACAUUCCAAUUUAGCGUUUUAGUUCAAAAUUAGAAGUUGGAUUCUGUGUAUAGUUAUUCUCAUGUCCAUCAUAUGAACUAUGCGUGUGUACUCAUGUUGAAUUAAUGUGUGAUACUGAGUCUUUGCAUUUUCAAUCGCCUUGCUUUUUCUUCAUGAUUUGGUGCAUGUGCAUUUUCACAUAAUUUGUAACAAACCAAUUCAUAUUUUUGUCGAGCUUGAAUCAUUUUGUUCUUUCAUAAUGGUUGGAGAUGUGGUUUAGGAGGAUCAGCAGCUAAUGGCAAACGCGUUAGCGAGCUCCGAGUGUGGUGGCCCGUGCAACAUGAAGAAGACCAUCCGGACAAAGGGCAGGUACACAAAUAGCCAAGAAUACAAGGAGACGUGCAGGUCUGCAUUUAUGAGUUUUAUCUCUUUUAGCACUAGCGAUUAAAUGGUCUGUAGCUGGUCAGGCGUGCUUGCCUAAAAUGUACUUUAGUAGUUGCUAGAUCCAUGCUAGCUUCUAUGUUGCUCUUGCAGCCUCAACUAGCUAAUUUUAUUUAAAGCAAAUGUUGUUCUAUCCUUCCAAUUACUGUUAUUCAGAUCUUCUUUUCUUUUUUCUGUUGUCAUUCACAGUACAAAUGUUAUGAGAAUUUCAGGAAUUUUGUCAUAUAUUUCUCCUAGUUACCUUAAUUUUGUAAAUUGUGGUCUAAUUCAAUUUUGAGUUUGUUUUCAGAAAAGCCUACUUUAAAGCUGUGUAAAUCCAUUAUUUCCUUUGAGUUUGCCGUGGAGGUGAGUUGGGAACCUUUUUUAUACUUGGUGGAUGCAUUGAUGUAGUGACAGAGACUUGCCUGAAUGUUGUUUUCUUCCGCGUGAAGUGCUUACAAUUCUCAAAGGCGUCAACAAGUCCCGGAGGAGACUGACAAGGUGCAGGCAAGAUCUCAAGUUCAUUGCUAUCUUUUUCUGUCUGAACAUUUUCUUAUUUGGAGUUGCAGCCGAUUUAUGGUGUGUCAACCGACUUGGCUUAGGAUGUAUUGUAGUUGGUUUGGUUGCAUCAACCAACAAGUCUUAUUAUGUAUUGCAGUUGGUUUGGUACCAUCAGCCGAUUGGCCAGUUGGAAAACCAGCGGGGAAAACAUGUACUAUGAGAUCCCCUCGCAUUCAGAGUUUAGAGCUUGAUGAACAAUGUUGUGUGAGCUUGUUGAUGAUCUGCUAUUUUUCACAAAAUUGGGACAUGUCGGAUGGUCGAUGUGAGGUUCUCUAAGUAAAAAAUUUCCUCAUUUGUCCGUUCUGAUAGGCUGAUGGAAUUUUGUUGAUAAGAACCUACAGUUUCUUGGGUAAGUUUGGGUUAGGAGUUCCGUAUAUAUGCGCCAGGAAAGUAUAUAGGGAAAUCAUGAUAUGCUUUUUUUGCAGUGCCAACACUGAAAAUGUAGAGUGUGUCAUGCAUGACUUUUAUAUGUGUUUUAGGAAUUGGAGGAUAGCUCUAUAAACAAAAUUCCUUAUUCUGCACUUCUCUGCUUUGCUUGGCAGGAAUUCUUGUUGUAAAGAGCGAAGGCAUGGUUUGGUUUGCAUGACAUUAUCUUCAAUUGGCUGGAGAUAUAUAAAUGUUGAUACUUGAUUUUCUCACCUGGCAUCUUAUCACUUCUGUGAACGACACUUCAUUUUCUCAUAGUAAUAGUUCUUUAUUAUUGUUGAUACAUAAAUGGAUCUUUAUUGAUUGGUACUUGUAUGUGUGUAUGGAGAAUGGUGAUUAACCUUUUAAAUAAUCUAUUAUCCAACUAGGUGAUUCUAAUUUCUGCUUAGAUUAUACUAUAACAAUAUGAUUAGCAAAAAUUCAAACGGUUGUAUAUUUGACACAUACUGCAAUGGGCCGAAGCCCGCCUGUAUAUUUUGUUCAAAUACUGAAAUUCAUUUACAGGGGAUUAUAAUCUUGGGCGCUAUGCAUUGAGAAAGUGUGCAUUUAGAUAAGAGAUUUAUAUAAUUAACGCAAAGAUGUGCAAUGUGUUUUUUCAACAAGAAUGCUGAUCAUGAAGAAUGAUAAUCAAAU
This 2304-nucleotide long non-coding RNA is filed under the name Triticum aestivum (bread wheat). RNAcentral describes it as "long non-coding RNA (TAES_LNC004764)". Lineage: Eukaryota; Viridiplantae; Streptophyta; Magnoliopsida; Poales; Poaceae. The record is from RNAcentral.